RNAcentral lists this ribosomal RNA (647 nucleotides) under Sphingobacterium sp. RNAcentral's name for it is "bacterial SSU rRNA". It matches the Rfam family "Bacterial small subunit ribosomal RNA", at positions 72 to 713 of the family's 1533-position model. The record is from RNAcentral. Lineage: Bacteria; Pseudomonadati; Bacteroidota; Sphingobacteriia; Sphingobacteriales; Sphingobacteriaceae.
CGGAGAGCUUGCUCGAAGAUGGUGAGAGUGGCGCACGGGUGCGUAACGCGUGAGCAACCUACCUCUAUCAGGGGGAUAGCCUCUCGAAAGAGAGAUUAACACCGCAUAACAUCAACAGUUCGCAUGUUCGGUUGAUUAAAUAUUUAUAGGAUAGAGAUGGGCUCGCGUGACAUUAGCUAGUUGGUAGGGUAACGGCCUACCAAGGCGACGAUGUCUAGGGGCUCUGAGAGGAGAAUCCCCCACACUGGUACUGAGACACGGACCAGACUCCUACGGGAGGCAGCAGUAAGGAAUAUUGGUCAAUGGGCGGAAGCCUGAACCAGCCAUGCCGCGUGCAGGAUGACUGCCCUAUGGGUUGUAAACUGCUUUUGUCCAGGAAUAAACCUAAAUACGUGUAUUUAGCUGAAUGUACUGGAAGAAUAAGGAUCGGCUAACUCCGUGCCAGCAGCCGCGGUAAUACGGAGGAUCCGAGCGUUAUCCGGAUUUAUUGGGUUUAAAGGGUGCGUAGGCGGCCUAUUAAGUCAGGGGUGAAAUACGGUGGCUCAACCAUCGCAGUGCCUUUGAUACUGAUGGGCUUGAAUCCAUUUGAAGUGGGCGGAAUAAGACAAGUAGCGGUGAAAUGCAUAGAUAUGUCUUAGAACUCCGAU